UUGGGGAUUAGCCAAGUCGGUAAGNCAGGACUUAAAAUCCUGCGGGACUUACCUCUCGUACCGGUUCGAUUCCGGUCUUCGGC
RNAcentral lists this transfer RNA (83 nucleotides) under Clostridioides difficile. Its description in RNAcentral is "tRNA-Leu(taa)". Lineage: Bacteria; Bacillati; Bacillota; Clostridia; Peptostreptococcales; Peptostreptococcaceae. The record is from RNAcentral.